RNAcentral lists this long non-coding RNA (415 nucleotides) under Malus domestica (apple). RNAcentral describes it as "long non-coding RNA (MDOM_LNC020154)". Lineage: Eukaryota; Viridiplantae; Streptophyta; Magnoliopsida; Rosales; Rosaceae. The record is from RNAcentral.
GAUUCGGGGAGCAGUGUCUCUUCGAUUUUUGAGAAAGUAAUCAUGUUAGGAGUCUGGCUCUCGAGAUUCGGAGGGCGGUGCCUCUUCGAUUUUGGAGCAAGCAAUCUUGUUGGGAGUGUUUUCUCGAAUGUGAGUAAAGGUUGGGCAUGUUUGCUAGUCUACCUUGCCACGAAGCUUCUCUUCGAUUUUUAAGAAAGUAGUCAUGUUGGGAGUCUGGCUCUCGAGAUUCGGAGGACGGUGCCUCUUCGAUUUUGGAGCAAGCAAUCUUAUUGGGAGUGUUUUCUCGAAUGUGAGUAAAGGUUGGGCAUGUUUGCUAGUCUACCUUGCCACGAAGCACAGAGGUUGACACACAGGGACUUUCCAAUUAUCCAGCAGUGGUACUGUUCCUUUACCCUUGUGGGUAAUAAUAUGGUAG